GUCUACGGCCAUACCACCCUGAACGCGCCCGAUCUCGUCUGAUCUCGGAAGCUAAGCAGGGUCGGGCCUGGUUAGUACUUGGAUGGGAGAACAACAAUUCUGUUGCUGAAAAGU
Molecule: ribosomal RNA, 114 nt
Filed under: Pongo abelii (Sumatran orangutan)
Lineage: Eukaryota; Metazoa; Chordata; Mammalia; Primates; Hominidae
Source: RNAcentral